Long non-coding RNA from Lycium ferocissimum, 1057 nucleotides. RefSeq lists it as uncharacterized. NCBI's taxonomy places the organism in Eukaryota, Viridiplantae, Streptophyta, Magnoliopsida, Solanales, Solanaceae. The record is from RefSeq and is a predicted model, not a curated record. The transcript is spliced from 2 exons.
UAAGAGGGUAUAUUUAUAAAACAUGACGAUACUUUUCAAUUUAUAAAACAUAACAUUAGAAUAUUUACAAAAUCUAUGCAAAUCUAGUAAAAAAAAAUGAAAAUAUGGUAAAAAAAAAAAACCCAAAAAUCACGCAAGUAACGGCUUCUACGUGAUCUUCUUCUCAAAAUUUCUCACUUACGAUAUUCUCUCACUUCUUCCUAAUCUCUCCAUGAUUUUGUACUGAAUAAAUACGCUGGCGAAUCAAAGUCGAUACACAAACAAUUUCUACAUACUCUGAUUCUCAAACUAGCAGAUUUCAAAUUCAAAAGAGAUACACAAUUAUUCAUUGUGGGGUAAAAAAAUGAGCAUAGUAGGCUGUUUAAUCCCCCCUUUUGGACUUUUUUGUCGAGGAACUGAAUGUGAUUGGAGAAUCGCAGAUUCAAAAUCGAUGUACAAUAGAAGCUUCAAUUUUACGUCGUUGAAAUCAUUCAAUUUCGUCUUCAAAAUAGAACGGAUUAAAGCUUUCAUCAUUCAACAAUGGCAGAUACCAUAUUUCAGUCAAUUUUGAUUCAACACUAUGGAAGAUGAGACUAAUUAACAGUGACUAAUGGUGUUAAGAGGUUCAUAGUGUGCCUUCGAACUAGAAAGAGUACUUCAUGCUUUGGUUACUAUCGAGUGCCAACACCAACAUGUAGAGGACUACUACCUUGCCUACUAUAUCAAUAAUUAAAAAAAAAUUGAUACGUAUGCAAUACCGGUUGAACCUCUUUCAUGUGUAAGUACAUGGUAUAUAUCAUUGCAUAUGUUUGGAAAAUUGUGUUGCCCUAGAUUCCGAAAGACUGCGGAAAGGCAAAAAAGUAAGAGAAUGAAAUAAUUUCAUGAUGUGAAAUUGAAGAGGUCAAAGGUGACAUGCAUUGGAUGUGGUAUAGUGAGGCACAACAGGACGACUUGUAGCAAUGUUCCACAGAAAAAAUAAAAUUUCGUGAUGCUAGCUUUUUUGAGAAUUUUUUUUCUUUAGUGAGAGUGAAAACAUGUUACUUGAGUACAAUUUAAUACAAAUAAAGUUACAAUUUGA